This 468-nucleotide ribosomal RNA is filed under the name uncultured bacterium. RNAcentral's name for it is "partial 16S ribosomal RNA". It matches the Rfam family "Bacterial small subunit ribosomal RNA", at positions 28 to 507 of the family's 1533-position model. The record is from RNAcentral.
GACGAACGCUGGCGGCGUGCUUAACACAUGCAAGUCGAACGGAAAGGCCCUGCUUUUGUGGGGUGCUCGAGUGGCGAACGGGUGAGUAACACGUGAGUAACCUGCCCUUGACUUUGGGAUAACUUCAGGAAACUGGGGCUAAUACCGGAUAGGAGCUCCUGCUGCAUGGUGGGGGUUGGAAAGUUUCGGCGGUUGGGGAUGGACUCGCGGCUUAUCAGCUUGUUGGUGGGGUAGUGGCUUACCAAGGCUUUGACGGGUAGCCGGCCUGAGAGGGUGACCGGCCACAUUGGGACUGAGAUACGGCCAAGACUCCUACGGGAGGCAGCAGUGGGGAAUAUUGCACAAUGGGCGGAAGCCUGAUGCAGAAACGCCGCGUGCGGGAUGACGGCCUUCGGGUUGUAAACCGCUUUCGCCUGUGACGAAGCGUGAGUGACGGUAAUGGGUAAAGAAGCACCGGCUAACUACGUG